RNAcentral lists this long non-coding RNA (249 nucleotides) under Ricinus communis (castor bean). RNAcentral's name for it is "long non-coding RNA (RCOM_LNC000025)". The record is from RNAcentral. Lineage: Eukaryota; Viridiplantae; Streptophyta; Magnoliopsida; Malpighiales; Euphorbiaceae.
UCAUCAACAAAAGACACAUGAAAAAAAAAAAAAAAAACUCUUGGAAGAAGCCCAUCAAUGAUUUGAGGCCCUACUUAUAGCCAUCGUCGUUGCCACCACUAGUUUAGUGUUGUCUAAGCUUGGAUGCCAAAAUUGUAGGUUAAUCAAGAUUAAAGAAAAUAGACGACAGUGACCCCUUGUACACUGGCGUUAGAGGUGGCGGUGAUAGAGAUGGUAAUGGCUUGUAAAAUGUGAGUGGCGAUGACGAUG